This 1294-nucleotide long non-coding RNA is filed under the name Salvia miltiorrhiza (redroot sage). RNAcentral describes it as "long non-coding RNA (SMIL_LNC000743)". The record is from RNAcentral. Lineage: Eukaryota; Viridiplantae; Streptophyta; Magnoliopsida; Lamiales; Lamiaceae.
UAACAUCAUAUAAUCAAUAAUUUUUAUAUAACUUCAAAAUAUCAAACCUUAAUAUAUACAUAACCCAACGAUAUUAUAACGUACAAAGUCAAACACGACCUGGAAAACAGUUUGAAAAUCCAACGUUAUUACUAAAACAAAAGUAUAUGAUACUGUACAAAGUUCAAAAGAAGAUAAUUUCUUUUGACUCAAAAAGAUUCGACGCGCCCAUUCGACCCUCCACGCGUCUCCAACAUCAGUUACCUGAAAAUGUUAAAUAAGGGAUAAGCAUACAAAGUAUACUUAGUGUGGGAUAUCAUGCAAUAAUUGUCCAAAUCCCAUUCUUUUUGCUUCCUUAAAUCUACAUCUCACCCUCUCCCUCACGCUCUGCACACACACCAACACCCAAACACACAUACCUCAAGUCACACACCACCUCAUACGCACCAUCUCCUUUUCCCUUGCCUUCUGCCGCCGCCGCCCGACAGCGGCGCCGCCCGGCGUCUCCCUUCCUCUCCCAGCCUCCUCCUCUCUCUCUCUCUCUCUCUCUCUCCCAGCCUCCUCUCACCCUCUCGACCAGACGGCCAUCGGCGAAGAGCGCCGACGCCGCCCCUGCUCCAGCGAACAGCCCGCCACCACCGCCGUCUCCCUGAUCCGGCGAGCAGCCAGCCGUCGCCUCCAGCCCGACGCCGCCUGCUUCUCCACACCUUCGCCGUUCCGACACCCACUCCCCUGUCUAUUCUAAGCCUCAACCCACUUCAUCUUCUUCUAUUUUCCAUUUCUAAAUUUUCUAAUUUCUUUACUGGAAAAGUAGCAGAAUUUUACUCUCUAUGUUUUCUCAUGAAUUAGAUGAAUGAUUUAGGAAAAUUGUUUGGUUAAAAGCAUGUGUAGACUGAAUUUGAUUCAAGAAUAGAAAUUAUUUUGGAAAAAAGCUUGUUGUGUUUCUGCACAAUAUAAAAGAGGAGAAAAAUAGAAUUGCUUGAUGUUUUAAAAUCACCGAAAAUAAAUUUUACCAAACCGAAGGGCUAUGGAAGAAGAUGUCCAAAGAAACGUUCUGUGCAGGUUGAGAUCUUUCUUUUACAGAAUUUCCAGAGAUGAAAAAUGACGAAGGCUGAUGGAGAUGAGGUAAUUUCAAUGAGAUAAGAAUUGGAGUGAUACGUGGCUGAAAAAUGGUGAAGUAAGAUCAGGUGGCUAUUGGAAUUGAACGGCACGUCAAACUACAUCUCAGAAUUAAAAUAANAAAAACAUUCAUUCACAAAAUGUAUACAUAGGCUGGAUUAAAUAGAUACGAGCUCUUGGCCCAAAAAUAUAGAGA